CUGGCGGGAGCGGGUGGUCCGGCACUUUGUGUUGGUACUUUCCUGUCUCUUGCCAUCCUUGGGUCUAAGCUGUCUGGCAUUUAGUUGUCGGGCAGUGGCUGCCCAUCGUUUACUGUGAAAAAAUUAGAGUGUUCAAAGCAGGCUUAUGCCGUUGAAUAUAUUAGCAUGGAAUAAUAAGAUAGGACCUUGGUACUAUUUUGUUGGUUUGCGCACCGAGGUAAUGAUUAAGAGGGACAGUUGGGGGUAUUCGUAUUCAAUUGUCAGAGGUGAAAUUCUUGGAUUUCUGGAAGACGAACUACUGCGAAAGCAUUUACCAAGGAUGUUUUCAUUAAUCAAGAACGAAAGUUAGGGGAUCGAAGAUGAUUAGAUACCAUCGUAGUCUUAACCAUAAACUAUGCCGACUAGGGAUUUGUGGGUGUUAUUUGUGACCCCAUGAGCACCUUAUGAGAAAUCAAAGUCUUUGGGUUCC
Molecule: ribosomal RNA, 469 nt
Filed under: Attheya sp. RCC5211
Lineage: Eukaryota; Bacillariophyta; Biddulphiophyceae; Attheyales; Attheyaceae
Description: SSU rRNA
Rfam family: Eukaryotic small subunit ribosomal RNA
Source: RNAcentral